RNAcentral lists this transfer RNA (64 nucleotides) under Loxilobus prominenoculus. RNAcentral's name for it is "tRNA-Leu". The record is from RNAcentral. Lineage: Eukaryota; Metazoa; Arthropoda; Insecta; Orthoptera; Tetrigidae.
ACUGUUUUGGCAGAAUAAAUGCUUUAGGGUUAGGUUCUAUGUAUGUAUAAUUAUACAAGCAGUA